GACGAACGCUGGCGGCGUGCUUAACACAUGCAAGUCGAACGGUGAAGCGCCUUCCUUUUUGGUGGGUGUGGAUGAGUGGCGAACGGGUGAGUAACACGUGAGUAACCUGCCCCCUUCUCCUGGAUAACCGCAUGAAAGUGUGGCUAAUACGGGAUAUUCUGGGUCUGUCGCAUGAUGGGUCUGGGAAAGAUAUUGUUUCGGUGGGGGAUGGGCUCGCGGCCUAUCAGCUUGUUGGUGGGGUGAUGGCCUACCAAGGCGGUGACGGGUAGCCGGCCUGAGAGGGUGGACGGUCGCACUGGGACUGAGACACGGCCCAGACUCCUACGGGAGGCAGCAGUGGGGAAUAUUGCACAAUGGGCGCAAGCCUGAUGCAGCGACGCAGCGUGAGGGAUGGAGGCCUUCGGGUUGUGAACCUCUUUCGCCAGUGAAGCAGGCCUGCCUCGUUUGUGGGUGGGUUGACGGUAGCUGGAUAAGAAGCGCCGGCUAACUACGUG
This 494-nucleotide ribosomal RNA is filed under the name uncultured bacterium. RNAcentral describes it as "partial 16S ribosomal RNA". It matches the Rfam family "Bacterial small subunit ribosomal RNA", at positions 28 to 507 of the family's 1533-position model. The record is from RNAcentral.